Molecule: non-coding RNA, 30 nt
Filed under: Homo sapiens (human)
Lineage: Eukaryota; Metazoa; Chordata; Mammalia; Primates; Hominidae
Source: RNAcentral
UNGCAGGGCUCUGAAUCCAUACACGAGAGC